UUAUCGGUGAUGGAUGGGGAUGCGUCUGAUUAGCUUGUUGGCGGGGUAACGGCCCACCAAGGCUACGAUCAGUAGGGGUUCUGAGAGGAAGGUCCCCCACAUUGGAACUGAGACACGUCCAAACUCCUACGGGAGGCAGCAGUGAGGAAUAUUGGUCAAUGGACGAGAGUCUGAACCAGCCAAGUAGCGUGCAGGAUGACGGCCCUAUGGGUUGUAAACUGCUUUUAUAAGGGAAUAAAGUGAGUCUCGUGAGACUUUUUGCAUGUACCUUAUGAAUAAGGACCGGCUAAUUCCGUGCCAGCAGCCGCGGUAAUACGGAAGGUCCGGGCGUUAUCCGGAUUUAUUGGGUUUAAAGGGAGCGUAGGCCGGAGAUUAAGCGUGUUGUGAAAUGUAGACGCUCAACGUCUGCACUGCAGCGCGAACUGGUUUCCUUGAGUACGCACAAAGUGGGCGGAAUUCGUG
RNAcentral lists this ribosomal RNA (462 nucleotides) under uncultured Bacteroidota bacterium. RNAcentral describes it as "bacterial SSU rRNA". It matches the Rfam family "Bacterial small subunit ribosomal RNA", at positions 212 to 672 of the family's 1533-position model. The record is from RNAcentral. Lineage: Bacteria; Pseudomonadati; Bacteroidota.